AUUGAACGCUGGCGGCAGGCCUAACACAUGCAAGUCGAGCGGCUGCACAGUGCUUGCUCCUUGUUUCGGCGGCCGACUGGCGGGCGGGUGCUGGGAAUCUCCGUAGCUAUUGUUUCUAACGUCCUAACGCGGGCGCUCAUACCCCAAUCCUCCUUACGACCAACGUGUGGGAUCUUCGGAUCUUCCGCUCUCACAUGAGCCGAGGUCGGAUUAGCUAGUUGGUGGGGUAAAGGCCUACCAAGGCGACGAUCCGUAACUGGUCUGAGAGGAUGAUCAGUCACACUGGAACUGAGACACGGUCCAGACUCCUACGGGAGGCAGCAGUGGGGAAUAUUGGACAAUGGGCGAAAGCCUGAUCCAGCCAUGCCGCGUGGGUGAAGAAGGUCUUCGGAUUGUAAAGCACUUUUGGUGGGGAGGAAGGGCAGUAAGUUAAUACCUUGCUGUUCUGACGGUACCAAAAGAAUAAGCACCGGCUAACUUCGUG
RNAcentral lists this ribosomal RNA (484 nucleotides) under uncultured bacterium. RNAcentral describes it as "partial 16S ribosomal RNA". It matches the Rfam family "Bacterial small subunit ribosomal RNA", at positions 30 to 507 of the family's 1533-position model. The record is from RNAcentral.